UAUAGGGAAACUCAUAGUAGUGUAUUAUAUAGUGUACUAUAUAGUGAAACUCAUAGUAGUGUAUUAUAUAGUGAAACCCAUAGUAGUGUACUAUAUAGGGAAACCCAUAGUAGUGUAUUAUAUGGUGUACUAUAUAGGGAAACCCAUAGUAGUGUAUUAUAUAGGGAAACCCAUAGUAUUGUAUUAUAUAGGGAAACCCAUAAUAGUGUAUUAUAUAGUGUAUUAUAUAGGGAAACCCAUAGUAGUGUAUUUUAUAGUGUAUUAUAUAGGGAAACCCAUAGUAGUGUAUUAUAUAGUGAAACUCAUAGUAGUGUAUUAUAUAGUGUACUAUAUAGUGAAACUCAUAGUAGUGUAUUAUAUAGUGAAACCCAUAGUAGUGUAUUAUAUAGUGUACUAUAUAGUGAAACUCAUAGUAGUGUAUUAUAUAGUGUACUAUAUAGGGAAACUCAUAGUAGUGUAUUAUAUAGUGAAACCCAUAGUAGUGUACUAUAUAGUGUACUAUAUAGGGAAACUCAUAGUAGUGUAUUAUAUAGUGUACUAUAUAGUGAAACUCAUAGUAGUGUAUUAUAUAGUGAAACCCAUAGUAGUGUACUAUAUAGGGAAACCCAUAGUAGUGUAUUAUAUGGUGUACUAUAUAGGGAAACCCAUAGUAUUGUAUUAUAUAGGGAUACCCAUAAUAGUGUAUUAUAUAGGGAAACCCAUAGUAGUAUAUUAUAUAGUGUAUUAUAUAGGGAAACCCAUAGUAGUGUAUUAUAUAGGGAAACCCAUAAUAGUGUAUUAUAUAGUGUACUAUAUAGUGAAACUCAUAGUAGUGUAUUAUAUAGUGUACUAUAUAGUGAAACUCAUAGUAGUGUAUUAUAUAGUGUACUAUAUAGGGAAACCCAUAGUAGUGUAUUAUAUAGUGUACUAUAUAGGGAAACCCAUAGUAGUGUAUUAUAUAGGGAAACCCAUAGUAGUGUACUAUAUAGUGAAACCCAUAGUAGUGUAUUAUAUAUUGAACAUGAUACCAGUCUCUCUUUGGUUGUGGUGA
Molecule: long non-coding RNA, 1030 nt
Filed under: Oncorhynchus mykiss (rainbow trout)
Lineage: Eukaryota; Metazoa; Chordata; Actinopteri; Salmoniformes; Salmonidae
Description: lncRNA (ENSOMYG00000064196.1)
Source: RNAcentral